GCCGCUGACUGAUCUGUUCUUUUUUGACUUGUUUUUUCUCCACUAACCUUGGAGGCAGACUCGUUUUCGAAAGAUAAGUCAAAAACGAAUAGAAAGCCUCCCAAGUGGGAGGCUUUUUUAUG
Vibrio sp. N418 is the source of this 122-nucleotide non-coding RNA. Lineage: Bacteria; Pseudomonadati; Pseudomonadota; Gammaproteobacteria; Vibrionales; Vibrionaceae. The record is from Rfam.